GGGGCGUCUGGGUGGCUCAGUCGGUUGAGCGUCCGACUUCGGCUCAGGUCAUGCUCUCGCAGUUCAUGAGUUCGAGCCCCGCGUCGGGCUCUGUGCUGACAGCUCGGAGCCUGGAGCCUGCUUCGGAUUCUGUGUCUCCCUCUCUCUGCUCCUCCCCCGCUCCUGCUCACUCUCUCUCUCUCUCUCUCUCAGAAAUAAAGAAACAUUAAAAAUUUUUUU
Panthera uncia (snow leopard) is the source of this 219-nucleotide long non-coding RNA. RefSeq lists it as uncharacterized. The record is from RefSeq and is a predicted model, not a curated record. Lineage: Eukaryota; Metazoa; Chordata; Mammalia; Carnivora; Felidae. The transcript has 2 exons.